CUGUGGAAAGAUUCAAAUCUCAAGGGAGCACUGAAUUAGCUUCAUGCAGCCCAUGGAUUCUCACUAUGUCUACCUUGGUGGGCACAGAGAAUGUAUAGUGAAUAGGGAUAAAAAAUAGAGUUGGUUUUCUUUUCCCAGAAACAACUUGUCGUAAUAUCUAAAUAGCUUAAUAUUUUGAAUUUGCAAAAUGAGGUUCUCUAGAUCCUAAUGCGAGCUUCUUUCUUUAAGUAGUUUAUUCCCCCUUUCUCUGUAGAAAUCUUCAUUUACCUUUUCCUCGCUGACUUUUAAACGUGUGAUAAAAAUCUAACAUGGAGAAGGAGUUGUGGGCACUUAGCUCAACAAAAACUGUUUAAGAUGACUUUUUCUUCUUAAUCAUAGAGCUUUUUUUCUCGUUUGGGUUUAGCAAAGAUGAGAGUAGUGCUGUGCAGAUGGUAAGUAUAGAAGCUUUUGAAUAAAAGCUGGUCAUGGUUAACCCUCAGACUGUAGCUCUAAGAUGCUUUAAGAAUGUGUUCUGAGCCCUUCGAGAGCUGUGAAAUGAAUAUGGCCAUUUAUGAGGCAGUAAUAAGAACCUUCAGUGAUAGUUUGACUCAGAAGCUAAUCUUAAGGGUUGUGAGUUUUUAUCAAUCACUCAUCCUUUUCCUGGACAUGUGGCUUAAAACAACCUCUUCCUUGGAUGAAUCCUCCAUGUUCUAUUUUUCUUCUCAUUAUCUGUCUGUUGUUGUUGUUGUCAUUCCUACUGUUCAUUUCCUCUUUCACUGCAACUUUUGUAUUUGGUUCAUCUUUACCUUCUUAUUUUCACGAUUUCUCUGACUGGCAAUCACUCCUUAGAAAGCUUCACAAAUCAUGUCAAGCUGUCACCAUCUCCUCCUUAUUCUGUUCCUUUUGCUACUUCUCACUCAUUUUCUUUUCUUCUUUUCAGUUUUGUAGGCUCCUACCAGUGAAAGCCUCCUCACAACUCUCUUCUUCUCCCCAAGACUUCGAAACCAAAAUCCCUUGUCACUCUUCUCAGAAGCAAUUCCUUUGUUACCCUCAUUGUAUGGAGGAGAAAGCUGGCACCCCAGAGACUGGCAAUCACCUGAGGCAGCAGGGUCAUAGCCACUGACUUCCAGGUCAACAUCACUUCAAAAUGGCGGCAUGCACGAAGACCCUUCAUUUUUACCUGUGGGUGUCCCAGAAAGUCGUGAAACAGAAAAUUUCACUGAUGUCAAAGGGUCUUCUUCCCCUGGAAGGCCCUAAUGAGCAAAGGUGCCCAUGAAAACAAAAAUUUAAUAUGGGAGAAACAAAACGUCUGGUAAAUCCAUGUAUGAUAAAGGAUCAUUUGUUCUCAAUAGGUUUUUACUUCCAUCACCC
Molecule: long non-coding RNA, 1350 nt
Filed under: Pan troglodytes (chimpanzee)
Lineage: Eukaryota; Metazoa; Chordata; Mammalia; Primates; Hominidae
Description: lncRNA (ENSPTRG00000053274.1)
Source: RNAcentral